GAUGAACGCUGGCGGCGUGCCUAAUACAUGCAAGUCGAGCGAACAGACGAGGAGCUUGCUCCUCUGACGUUAGCGGCGGACGGGUGAGUAACACGUGGAUAACCUACCUAUAAGACUGGGAGAACUUCGGGAAACCGGAGCUAAUACCGGAUAAUAUAUUGAACCGCAUGGUUCAAUAGUGAAAGACGGUUUUGCUGUCACUUAUAGAUGGAUCCGCGCCGCAUUAGCUAGUUGGUAAGGUAACGGCUUACCAAGGCAACGAUGCGUAGCCGACCUGAGAGGGUGAUCGGCCACACUGGAACUGAGACACGGUCCAGACUCCUACGGGAGGCAGCAGUAGGGAAUCUUCCGCAAUGGGCGAAAGCUUGACGGAGCAACGCCGCGUGAGUGAUGAAGGUCUUCGGAUCGUAAAACUCUGUUAUUAGGGAAGAACAAAUGUGUAAGUAACUAUGCACGUCUGGACGGUACCUAAUCAGAAAGCCACGGCUAACUACGU
This 496-nucleotide ribosomal RNA is filed under the name uncultured bacterium. RNAcentral's name for it is "partial 16S ribosomal RNA". It matches the Rfam family "Bacterial small subunit ribosomal RNA", at positions 28 to 506 of the family's 1533-position model. The record is from RNAcentral.